UUGGAGGGCAAGUCUGGUGCCAGCAGCCGCGGUAAUUCCAGCUCCAAUAGCGUAUAUUAAAGUUGUUGCAGUUAAAAAGCCCGUAGUUGAAUUUCGGGGUCAGUAGGUUGGUCAUGCCACCGGUAUGUACUGGUCUCACUGAUUCCUCCUUCCUGAUGAGCCGUAAUGCCAUUAAUUUGGUGUUGCGGGGAAUUUGGACUGUUACUUUGAAAAAAUUAGAGUGUUUAAAGCAAGCUAACGCUUGAAUACAUUAGCAUGGAAUAAUGAAAUAGGACGUUCGAUCCUAUUUUGUUGGUUUCUAGGAUUGACGUAAUGAUUAAUAGGGAUAGUUGGGGGCAUUAGUAUUCAAUUGUCAGAGGUGAAAUUCUUGGAUUUAUUGAAGACUAACUACUGCGAAAGCAUUUGCCAAGGAUGUUCUCAUUAAUCAAGAACGAAAGUUAGGGGAUCGAAGACGAUCAGGUACCGUCGUAGUCUUAACCAUAAACUAUGCCGACUAGGGAUCGGAUGAUGUUAAUUUUUUAAUGACUCAUUCGGCGCCUUACGGGAAACCAAAGUGUUUGGGUUC
Molecule: ribosomal RNA, 565 nt
Filed under: uncultured Glomeromycotina
Lineage: Eukaryota; Fungi; Glomeromycota
Description: SSU rRNA
Rfam family: Eukaryotic small subunit ribosomal RNA
Source: RNAcentral